UUUUAUUAGUAUAGUGAGUAUAAUUAACUUCCAAUUAAUAGGUUUAAAUUUUAAAUAAAACU
This 62-nucleotide transfer RNA is filed under the name Aleurocanthus camelliae (camellia spiny whitefly). RNAcentral's name for it is "tRNA-Gly". The record is from RNAcentral. Lineage: Eukaryota; Metazoa; Arthropoda; Insecta; Hemiptera; Aleyrodidae.